AGUCGGGCCUCAGUUGCCAGGGGCGACGAGCUGGCUUCCAGCGGGUGGCUGUGCCCGCGCGCCCUGCACCUCGUUCCCCAGAAGGGUGACCGGAGAGGGCGGGAGAAGCCCGCAGAGCCCACGGAGACAGCGCUGGCCCUGACCUUUCCCCUGACCGAAAACCUUCCCUGGCUCCCGCAUGCAGUGCAGGGUGGGGGCCGCGCAGGACCGUAACGAGCCAGCCCCGCGUCCCGCACCGGUGGUCAGGCGCACGUGGUGGGGGACGUAGGAAGGGGCGCCUGAGCCGGGGCCUGGGGACCCACGGUGGCGCAUCCCCUAGGGGCCUGGGUUACGGAGCUCUGACGUCAUCCUGAGGGCCUGCACAGUGUUUAGGGGGAGAAUCCGGUGCAGCCCAAACCAACCUUCCUUAACUUCGGUUUCCUACGCGCUGGGGAUAAGAACAGCACCCACGUCCACGACGUCGGAGGAUUAUAAGGGUAACGAUGCCGUUAGAAAUCAUUCAAUAAAUGGAGCGCUUUAUGAUGAUCUACUCCGUUUUGUUGGUUUUUUGGGAGUCGGCUCCGCACCAGCAAGGAAGAAAACAAGGAAAUCCUUGACCUCGCAGACCUCAUGAUGUUUUCCAUGGGGUUCGGGAGGGAAGACAAACAACAUGAUAAAUAAAGUUUAUGGCCGAGGGGACGAUGUUACGUGCUGGAGAGAAAAAGCGGACAGUUUGCAACCACCAGGGAAAUGUGAAUGUGUCUGGGCAGUAGAUGAUAGAAAGGGGCUGUUGGUGACUUUUUUUCGUUUAUUUGAUUUUUGAGAGGGAGAGCCCAGCGGGGGAGAGGCAAAGAGCGAGAGGGAGAUACCGAAUCCCAAGCAGGCUCCAGGCUCUGAGCUGUCAGCACUGAGCCCAACGCGGGGCUCGAACUCAAGAACCACGAGAUCAUGACCUGAGCCGAAGUUGGACCCUUGAGCCACCCAGGCGCCCCACUUCUGGACUUUUCAUAGGAGUGAUAGUGGCAUGAUGGAGGAAGGAGGCCUGACCCAAGGAACGCAGGAAGCUUCCAGAAGCUGGGAAAGGCAAGGAGAUGGAUUCCCCCCCCCCCCCCGAACCUCCAAAAGUAGUACAAUUCAGCCAACAGAAGGAUUGUAUCUCGGUGGGACUCAUCUUGGCCUUUUCCCUCCAAAAUGGUAACAAUAAAUUUGUGUCGUUUUGA
Prionailurus viverrinus (fishing cat) is the source of this 1199-nucleotide long non-coding RNA. RefSeq lists it as uncharacterized. The transcript has 2 exons. Lineage: Eukaryota; Metazoa; Chordata; Mammalia; Carnivora; Felidae. The record is from RefSeq and is a predicted model, not a curated record.